CCUGGCAGCAGCGACCGUCCCGACCAGUCAAUGCUGGCCUACGCAGGCAUGGGAUGAGGUGCCGCUAUUGAAAUCAGGUCCAUCUGGAUCCGUGUGGAAUGUGGAAGGAGCCACAUGUGCAGCGGCGCUGGCAUACCGUGAGAAUAUGAGAGGAUGGUUUCUCUGCUUCUGCCACAACUCAGGGAACAAGGCCGUUGGAUGAGGUGCUAGGACCGCUGAUGAGGAGGCCUGGCGGAGCAGGGACCCUGACCUGCGCUCACAGAAACACCCAUCUGCUCCGCAGUCCAAGCCUCAGGAAUUGCAGGGGGAGGUCUGGACACCGUGUGAAGACAGCUGGGGAUGCAUCUGCAAACUGAGGAGCCACGAUGGCUGGGGGACCCCUAGGAGCUGGGGGAGGCCUGGAGCAGCCUCUCCCCCACAGCCUCAGGAGGAACCAGCCUGCCGAACCCUGACCUCGCACUUCUGGCCCCCAGAGCUGUGAGAUAAUAAAUGUCUAUUGUUUAAGCU
Long non-coding RNA from Cebus imitator (Panamanian white-faced capuchin), 507 nucleotides. RefSeq lists it as uncharacterized. The record is from RefSeq and is a predicted model, not a curated record. Lineage: Eukaryota; Metazoa; Chordata; Mammalia; Primates; Cebidae. The transcript has 3 exons.